AUGACUUCGGAGAUGGGCCUCGUCCACUGCCUCCCGCUGCUCCUGCUGCUGCUCUCGGCCUCGGCCGUGGUCGCGGCCGCGGGCGGCGGGGAGAAGGACGUCUCGGCCUCGGACUACGAGGCGCGGUUCGAGGCGUGGUGCGCGGAGCACGGCAAGGCGUACGCGACGCCCGGGGAGCGCGCGGCGCGGCUCGCGGCCUUCGCGGAGAACGCGGCCUUCGUCGCGGCGCACAACGCCGGCGCCGCCGCCAAUAGCGGCGCGGGAGGAUCCCAGUCGUACACGCUCGCGCUCAACGCGUUCGCUGACCUCACGCACGACGAGUUCCGCGCCGCGCGCCUCGGGCGCCUCGCCGUCGGCCCGGUCCCCCUCGGGGAGCCGCGUUCGUCCGGGGGCUUCGAGGGCGGCGUGGGCGCCGUGCCCGACGCGCUCGACUGGAGGCAGAGCGGCGCCGUCACCAAGGUCAAGGACCAGGGCAGCUGCGGUGCUUGUUGGAGCUUCUCUGCUACAGGUGCCAUGGAAGGAAUAAACAAGAUCACGACGGGCUCUCUUCUCAGCCUUUCUGAACAGGAACUAAUCGAUUGUGACAGAUCCUACAAUGCUGGUUGUGGCGGUGGGCUCAUGACCUAUGCUUAUAAGUUUGUGAUUAAAAAUGGUGGGAUUGACACGGAGGAUGAUUACCCGUUUCGUGAAGCAGAUGGAACAUGCAACAAGAACAAGCUGAAAAAGCAUGUGGUAACAAUCGAUGGCUACAAGGAGGUGCCUCCUAGCAAGGAAGACUUGUUACUACAAGCUGUUGCCCAGCAACCCAUUAGCGUAGGAAUAUGUGGCAGCGCUAGAGCAUUUCAGCUAUACUCCCAGGGUAUCUUCGAUGGUCCAUGCCCAACAUCUCUUGAUCAUGCUGUCCUAAUUGUGGGAUAUGGUUCUGAAGGUGGCAAGGAUUAUUGGAUUGUGAAAAAUUCCUGGGGUGAAAGAUGGGGAAUGAAGGGCUAUAUGCAUAUGCACCGAAACACUGGCUCAUCGUCAGGUAUCUGUGGCAUAAACAUGAUGGCAUCUUUCCCCACAAAAACAAGCCCGAAUCCUCCUCCUUCACCUGGCCCUGGCCCAACCAAAUGCAGCGUUUUUACCUCCUGCCCUGAAGGAUCCACCUGCUGUUGCUCAUGGCGUGCCUUGGGAUUCUGCCUUUCCUGGAGCUGUUGCGAGCUGGAUAAUGCAGUUUGCUGCAGUGAUAACCGUUCUUGUUGCCCCCAUGACUAUCCUAUAUGUGAUACAGCUAGGGGACGUUGCUUGAAGGGCAAUGGCAACUUCUCCAGCAUAGAGGGAAUCAAGAGGAAGCAAGCUUUCUCCAAGGUUCCCUCUUGGAAUGGUUUGUUGGAACUGCUGGAUCAAUAG
This 1389-nucleotide ribosomal RNA is filed under the name Triticum aestivum (bread wheat). Its description in RNAcentral is "partial small subunit ribosomal RNA". The record is from RNAcentral. Lineage: Eukaryota; Viridiplantae; Streptophyta; Magnoliopsida; Poales; Poaceae.